CAAUAGCGUAUAUUAAAGUUGUUGCAGUUAAAAAGCUCGUAGUUGGAUUUGUGGUUGAUGUUGGUUGCCCGACAUUCGUGUCGGUGCGUACCGGUGUCGCCAUCCUUGGGUGGAAUCUGUGUGGCAUUAGGUUGUCGUGCAGGGGAUGCCCAUCUUUUACUGUGAAAAAAUUAGAGUGUUCAAAGCAGGCUUACGCCGUUGAAUAUAUUAGCAUGGAAUAAUAAGAUAGGACCUCGGUACUAUUUUGUUGGUUUGCGCACUGAGGUAAUGAUUAAUAGGGACAGUUGGGGGUAUUCGUAUUCCAUUGUCAGAGGUGAAAUUCUUGGAUUUUUGGAAGACGAACUACUGCGAAAGCAUUUACCAAGGAUGUUUUCAUUAA
Molecule: ribosomal RNA, 379 nt
Filed under: uncultured eukaryote
Lineage: Eukaryota
Description: partial 18S ribosomal RNA
Rfam family: Eukaryotic small subunit ribosomal RNA
Source: RNAcentral